CGGUCCUGUAAGUCCUUUGUGAAAUCGUCGUGCUCAACGCGACGGUGUGCAGAGGAUACUGCGGGACUAGAGACCGGGAUGGGUCAGAGGUAUUCCGUGGGGAGCAGUAAAAUGCUAUAAUCCACGGAGGACCACCGAUGGCGAAAGCAUCUGGCUAGAACGGGUCUGACGGUGAGGGACUAAAGCCAGGGGAGCAAACGGGAUUAGAUACCCCAGUAGUCCUGGCCGUUAACGAUGUGGGCUAGGUGUUGCGCAAUUUACGGGAUUGCGCAGUAUCGAAACGAAGGUACUAAGCCCACCGCCUGGGAA
RNAcentral lists this ribosomal RNA (309 nucleotides) under uncultured archaeon. Its description in RNAcentral is "bacterial SSU rRNA". It matches the Rfam family "Archaeal small subunit ribosomal RNA", at positions 526 to 834 of the family's 1478-position model. The record is from RNAcentral.